AGAGUUUGAUCAUGGCUCAGAAUCAACGCUGGCGGCGUGCCUAACACAUGCAAGUCGAGCGAGAAAGUGGUAGCAAUACCAUGAGUACAGCGGCGCACGGGUGAGUAACACGUGACUAACCUACCCUCGAGUGGGGAAUAACUUCGGGAAACCGAGGCUAAUACCGCAUAAUACCCACGGGUCAAAGGAGCAAUUCGCUUGAGGAGGGGGUCGCGGCCGAUUAGUUAGUUGGCGGGGUAAUGGCCCACCAAGACGAUGAUCGGUAUCCGGCCUGAGAGGGCGCACGGACACACUGGAACUGAAACACGGUCCAGACUCCUACGGGAGGCAGCAGUGGGGAAUUUUGCGCAAUGGGGGAAACCCUGACGCAGCAACGCCGCGUGGAGGAUGAAGUCCUUCGGGACGUAAACUCCUUUCGAUCGGGACGAUUAUGACGGUACCGGAAGAAGAAGCCCCGGCUAACUUCGUGCCAGCAGCCGCGGUAAUACGAGGGGGGCGAGCGUUGUUCGGAAUUAUUGGGCGUAAAGGGUGCGUAGGCGGUUUGGUAAGUCUCGUGUGAAAUCUCUGGGCUCAACUCAGAGUCUGCACGAGAAACUGCCGGGCUUGAGUGUGGGAGAGGUGAGUGGAAUUUCCGGUGUAGCGGUGAAAUGCGUAGAUAUCGGAAGGAACACCUGUGGCGAAAGCGGCUCACUGGACCACAACUGACGCUGAUGCACGAAAGCUAGGGGAGCAAACAGGAUUAGAUACCCUAGUAGUCC
This 758-nucleotide ribosomal RNA is filed under the name uncultured bacterium. RNAcentral describes it as "bacterial SSU rRNA". It matches the Rfam family "Bacterial small subunit ribosomal RNA", at positions 8 to 796 of the family's 1533-position model. The record is from RNAcentral.